AGUAUCUAUCCCAAAGACCAGGGAGAAAGGAAGGAAAGAUUCUGGUUCUGUCCUCUUCCCCAAGGCAAGGCUGGCUGCCCUACCAACAGAGGCAAAGAGAAGAGUGUGCAAGGCUGGCUGCCCUCCCAACAGAGGCAAAGAGGAGUGUGUGUUGAAAUAUCCAUUGAAUCCCUGAGACAACUGGAUCCUGGCCCAUUGAAUCAUAAACUCAGCAGAAUCUCACAUCAUAACCCCAAAUGACCUGUUACUCACCAUGUGGCCCAGCUGUCUUCAAACUCACCAGCCUCCUGCCUUAGCCUUCUAAAUGCUUGGAUUACAGGCAUGACCCACCAUAACUGGCUUUGUUUUAGUUUCAGAGAAGAUGAAACUGAUGUGCGUCAAAAAGCUGGUAGUCUGUCAAGGAAAUGAGCUGAACAUGUCUGUGUACAGCUUUUGUGCCAUCCCUGGAUGAGCGAGCUGUCUGCCUCUAUGUUCUCCACAAAAUGGAAUAUAGCUGUACACCCAAGCCAAGUUAUGGAGGCUGGGAAGACCUAGAAUGUGGCAUCACUAUUUGGAAACCAUGCCGAUUACCGACCGAGCUCUCAAUGGAAAAAUGCAGUCGGCGUGAACCACGCACGAACACAGCAGAGAAAGAAGAAAACACACACCACGAGGAACCCUAAUAGGACAAUACAUUAUAAGUCACAGUGCUACGGAGAAACCCAGUAGCCACAUGGAAGCAGAGACCAUGCAUAUGCAUCUACUCCGCAGCUCUGUGAAUGUCAGCAGCUCCCACGGACUGGAGAUCCCGUGAGAUCCCGUGAGAUCUCACCCAUAGCCUCAUGGUACAUCCACUUGGUGUGCUGGGAGAGUCAGGAUGAGGACCUGAGAAGAACAGCAGCUUGAACCUGACUUCAUUUAACAGCCCACUGCCCUCUUGCCAAGAACCCAUCACAGACCUUCCCAGAAGAGAGGGAUGAGCCUCACCUAUGAAUAAGUCCUCAGAAACUCAAAUUUGAUUCUAAUGGAUUGUUUUCUCAGAAAGACUGAGCAUGUCCCCCCACAUCUCUGUCAUUUCCCACAGUAGUAACCUCUGCAGAUGCCACAUAGAAAACAAAACAAAACAAAAAAACAUGAGGUUGGUGGGCAGAUAGGCAGGGUAUAAACAAACAGCCUUGUAACCCAGAAGCUGUGUGAUAUACAGUAAACUUCACAACACUGAAAAGAUGUCCUAUCUGUUAAAAUGGGGUAAUAACAACUACCCGAAUGUUUAGGAAUAGAACUUCAAUAAAUGAUACAUUUUAUAGUACAGCA
RNAcentral lists this long non-coding RNA (1293 nucleotides) under Mus musculus (house mouse). RNAcentral describes it as "predicted gene, 36041". Lineage: Eukaryota; Metazoa; Chordata; Mammalia; Rodentia; Muridae. The record is from RNAcentral.